RNAcentral lists this ribosomal RNA (253 nucleotides) under uncultured bacterium. RNAcentral describes it as "partial 16S ribosomal RNA". It matches the Rfam family "Bacterial small subunit ribosomal RNA", at positions 524 to 776 of the family's 1533-position model. The record is from RNAcentral.
UACGUAGGGGGCAAGCGUUGUCCGGAAUCAUUGGGCGUAAAGCGCGUGUAGGCGGUUCGGUAAGUCGGCUGUGAAAGUCCAGGGCUCAACCCUGGGAUGCCGGUCGAUACUGUCGGACUAGAGUUCGGAAGAGGCGAGUGGAAUUCCCGGUGUAGCGGUGAAAUGCGCAGAUAUCGGGAGGAACACCAAUGGCGAAGGCAGCUCGCUGGGACGUUACUGACGCUGAGACGCGAAAGCGUGGGGAGCAAACAGG